AUUAAAGCCUNGGGUAUGCACGCUAAAUUACCUAAUUACCAUCUUAAUCCUUUCUUUAUAUUGAGCAAUUCUAUAAAAAUAUAGAAAAUUUUAUGUUAAAACUAGUAACAAGAAGAAGAUCCUUCUCUUAAAUGUAAGUGUAAAUCAGAAAGGACAAACCACUGAURAUUAACACCUGUGAGCCUWAAGUAGCAACCAAUYRRGRAAAUUCUACUUYUAMUAACGKUAACCUAACACAAGAACAUUUUAAGAAAGAUUAAAAGAAAAAGAAGGAACUCGGCAAACAUUAACCCCGCCUGUUUACCAAAAACAUCGCCUCUUGUAUCACAUAAGAGGUCCAGCCUGCCCAGUGACUCUGUUCAACGGCCGCGGUAUCCUAACCGUGCGAAGGUAGCGUAAUCACUUGUUCUUUAAAUGAGGACUAGUAUGAAUGGCACCACGAGGGUUAUACUGUCUCCUUUUUCUAAUCAGUGAAACUAAUCUUCCCGUGAAGAAGCGAGGAUGAAACUAUAAGACGAGAAGACCCUAUGGAGCUUUAAACAACACGGCAUCAAUACAAAAUUUUCUGAAGGCAACAUGACUGUAAGUUUUUGGUUGGGGUGACCACGGAGCAUAAUACAACCUCCACGUUGAAAGAAUAAACUAAGAUCUACCCAUCUAAGUAUCAACAUAUUGACAUUCAUUGAUCCAAUAUACUUGAACAACGAACCAAGUUACCCUAGGGAUAACAGCGCAAUCUACUUCAAGAGCCCCUAUCGACAAGUAGGUUUACGACCUCGAUGUUGGAUCAGGGUCUCCUAGUGGUGCAGCCGCUACUAUUGGCCUUAAAGCCGCC
This 835-nucleotide ribosomal RNA is filed under the name Rentapia hosii (common tree toad). RNAcentral describes it as "partial 16S ribosomal RNA". It matches the Rfam family "Bacterial large subunit ribosomal RNA", at positions 1215 to 2598 of the family's 2925-position model. The record is from RNAcentral. Lineage: Eukaryota; Metazoa; Chordata; Amphibia; Anura; Bufonidae.